Zingiber officinale is the source of this 440-nucleotide long non-coding RNA. RefSeq lists it as uncharacterized. The record is from RefSeq and is a predicted model, not a curated record. NCBI's taxonomy places the organism in Eukaryota, Viridiplantae, Streptophyta, Magnoliopsida, Zingiberales, Zingiberaceae. The transcript has 2 exons.
CUUCUGCGCGGCGUCGUGACUUCUGCUCGGGCGAAAGAGGCGGCGGAGCUAAGUUUCCUUUCUCCGGCGGCCGGCGAAGGCUUUCUUCCGACAAACCUUGCCGAUUUUGAUCCCCUUCGUCGAGGAGAAGGUGAAGACGUAGAGGAAUCACCGAGAUCUUCACCUCACCCGGAAUCCUAGAGUCUUCCUCCUUCCUUCGGCUGUAAGUCCAAGAAAGCGAUAUAAAGGAAAAGCUAAAGUAUGAAAGGAAGGUGACAAGGUGGUGGUGAUGAAGGUGUGUGAUGGCUGAACUAUGGAGAGAUCAAGAGUUUGGUAAGGAGUUGUCAAAACUUAUCUGUUUAGAGUUUCCUUUUUCUUUUCUCCUUAAUGCUAUGAUGAAGUUGAGAUUGUAAUUGGGUCUAUUCCGCACUUGUAGCUUGUUAUGUCUAUUGUUUGAGUUA